Melozone crissalis (California towhee) is the source of this 850-nucleotide long non-coding RNA. RefSeq lists it as uncharacterized. NCBI's taxonomy places the organism in Eukaryota, Metazoa, Chordata, Aves, Passeriformes, Passerellidae. The record is from RefSeq and is a predicted model, not a curated record. The transcript has 3 exons.
GGCUGGACCAGGAACAGCCGGGCUCGGCAGCAUCGCGGGGCCGGCUGGGAAGAGACAAUCCCCCGGAGAGGCAGUAUUCAGAGUGAUGGCUCAGAUGCUCAGCAGCUUUGGAACAGUGAGACACAGCUGGCUGGAAACACAGCUUCCACAAAGAAUUACCCAAACAGGGUCUUGCAAGGGAGAAAAGCAGUGAGGCCUGGCACCAACAAUAAGAGGAACAAAGAAUCACGUGCAGAGACCUGGCUCUGGACAGGCUGGAAAAUUCUGUAGGCAACCUCCUGAACACCCCUGGGAUGGAUGACAAAAUACAUGAUAACAGAAGAGCACUGAGGAGAAAAUGAGCAUUUCUUUGCAGCUGUUGGGACUCUGCUUCCACGUGUGCCCUUCAAAACUGUCUCUGGUUCGCAGAGGAGCAGUCAGAGCAAAAACUGGUCUGGAACAGGACAGAGACUUAAGGAACUACAGUCUCCAGCUUAACAUUGGGAACUUACAGGUGGUUGGGUCAGAGUCUGAUGAACAGAAAUCUGUCAGAUGCCUCUUUAACCCAGCAAGGGCAUCUGACACACCCCUGUUAUUAUCCAGCAGUUUAAAGAAAUGGAAACAGGGAAUGAAUCACAACUUAUAACACCCAAAGGACAUGGCAAGGCAUAUACUGUGUCAUCUCUCAUUUGAUCCCUUUAAAUCAAUAGGUGGGGUCUUUCUAAAAGUGGUUCACAUUCUGCCAUGGUCUUGUUGGAGGGAGAAGUGCAUGUGAAUAUGCAUAGAGCAGGUUAGAUGAUCACAAAAUACAUCCUGAAUCUGUGAAAUAUAAACUUUGGAUCUAAGGUGCUCCAGGUCAAAUAUGGCUUCU